RNAcentral lists this ribosomal RNA (456 nucleotides) under uncultured bacterium. RNAcentral describes it as "bacterial SSU rRNA". It matches the Rfam family "Bacterial small subunit ribosomal RNA", at positions 45 to 501 of the family's 1533-position model. The record is from RNAcentral.
UGGAUUAGGCAUGCAAGUCGCGCGACAAGUUUCCUGCUUGCAGGAAACGGAGGAGCGGCGAAAGUGGAGAGUAACACGUGGAUACCUGCCCUCAGCUCCGGGAUAGCAGCGGGAAACUGCUGGUAAUACCGGAUAAUAUCCCCGGAUCAAAGGUGUGAUUCCUGGCUGGGGAUGGGUCCGCGUCCUAUUAGGUUGUUGGUAGGGGUAAUGGCCCACCAAGCCAAAGAUGGGUACCGGGCGUGAGAGCGUGGCCCGGCUCACUGGGACUGAGACACUGCCCAGACAUCUACGGAUGGCUGCAGUCGAGGAUCUUCCGCAAUGGUCGAAAGUCUGACGGAGCGACGCCGCGUAGCGGGAUGAAGGCCUUCGGGUUGUAAACCGCUGUCAGUGGGGAGCAAAUGCAUCAGGGGCAAUCCCUGUUUGUUUGAGCGAUCCGCAGAGGAAGUACGGGCUAAG